UCUGUUCUGCCAUCAGCUGUGUGCACAAGCUGAGUGCAUAAGAUAAGUAGCCCAACCUGAACUAAGAUCAAAUGAUCAACCAGCAACAAAAACAAACACUGGUGUUGCCUGUCUGGUUUUUUAAGGGUCACAGGGGAACCUGGAGCCUAUCCCAGGAAGCACCAGGCACAAGGCGGGGUACACCCUGGAUAGGGUGCCAGUCCAUCACAGGGCACAAUCACAUAUACACUCACACACCCAUUCAUACACUACGGACACUUUAGACACACCAAUCAACCUACCAUGCAUGUCUUUGGACUGGGGGAGGGAACCGGAGUACCCGGAGGAAACCCCCGCAGAACGGGGAGAACAUGCAAACUCCGCACACACAUGGCCCCGACAGGACUUUGGUUUCCUCCCCCAGUCCAAAGACAUGCAUGGUAGGUUGAUUGGUGUGGAUAUUAUAUAUAUUCUUCCUAAUAUAUAAUAUAAGUAAAUAAUAAAACAGAAUGGGGUGUGCUGUUAUAAGAAAACGAUGUGGUAAUGAGAUGUGGGAUGAUGCAAAGUGGAGUUACUGUUACAACCACGAAACGCAUUAUGAAACAACUUAAUUUUUUUUCUUUUAUAGUCAGAUUUAAACUUGUGGAAUCCUGUUAUCAUUUAAUUUAGUACAGAUAUAAGCAAUUGUUUUUCUUUAUUAAGUAAUGUUUUGAGUUAGUUUUAAUAACACUUAGUCAUUUAUUUAUUAUUAUGCUUUAUCAUACAAAUCCCUCUGCAAUGAUAACAUAAUAAAAUUAAUGUAUCACGAAUUGAAAAUUCAACAGUGCUGUGGUAUAUAAUAUAAUAUAAUAUAAUAUA
Molecule: long non-coding RNA, 837 nt
Organism: Ictalurus furcatus (blue catfish)
Lineage: Eukaryota; Metazoa; Chordata; Actinopteri; Siluriformes; Ictaluridae
Exons: 4
Source: RefSeq, a predicted model, not a curated record